CACACACACACAGAUGUUGAGGUCUCUGCUGGAUCCAGCUGUGUCAGUCUGAUCUUCUGUUCUGCAGGAAAGGGAAGGGGUUUCCGUCCUCCUUCAAGCAGUUCUUCAGCAGCGCUUUGUCUCUCCAGAACAUCUGUCUGUCUGGAACUAAACUACCUGCUGAAGGACUCAAAGCUCUGCUCCUGGGUCUGGCCUGUAACACUAACCUGUGAGAUGUUUCUCUGAACAUCAGCAGCUGUGAGUUGCGCUCAGCAGGCUCUCAGAUUCUGGAAGGCUGUAUCGCUGAGAUCCCCAACAUCACCAGCCUGGACAUAUCAGACAACGGACUGGACUUGGAUCUGUCCACGCUGCUCGUGUGGCUCGGGAAGAACCGCUGCAUCAGACACUUGUCCA
Long non-coding RNA from Cyprinus carpio (common carp), 393 nucleotides. RefSeq lists it as uncharacterized. Lineage: Eukaryota; Metazoa; Chordata; Actinopteri; Cypriniformes; Cyprinidae. The transcript is spliced from 4 exons. The record is from RefSeq and is a predicted model, not a curated record.